GGAGGUGUGGCCGAGCGGUUUAAGGCAGCAGUCUUGAAAACUGCCGUAGGGGUGACUCUACCGUGAGUUCGAAUCUCACCGCCUCCG
This 87-nucleotide transfer RNA is filed under the name Nitrosomonas oligotropha. It matches the Rfam family "tRNA". From Rfam's summary of the family: Transfer RNA (tRNA) molecules are approximately 80 nucleotides in length. Their secondary structure includes four short double-helical elements and three loops (D, anti-codon, and T loops). Lineage: Bacteria; Pseudomonadati; Pseudomonadota; Betaproteobacteria; Nitrosomonadales; Nitrosomonadaceae. The record is from Rfam by way of RNAcentral. RNAcentral also lists the same sequence under 2 other names.